UGCGUAGGUGGCGCGCUAAGUCAGGUGUGAAAUUUCGGAGCUUAACUCCGAAACUGCAUUUGAUACUGGCGUGCUUGAGGACUGGAGAGGAGACUGGAAUUCACGGUGUAGCAGCGAAAUGCGUAGAGAUCGUGAGGAAGACCAGUGGCGAAGGCGGGUCUCUGGACAGUUCCUGACACUGAGGCACGAAGGCCAGGGGAGCAAACG
This 207-nucleotide ribosomal RNA is filed under the name uncultured bacterium. RNAcentral describes it as "partial 16S ribosomal RNA". It matches the Rfam family "Bacterial small subunit ribosomal RNA", at positions 568 to 774 of the family's 1533-position model. The record is from RNAcentral.